This 72-nucleotide transfer RNA is filed under the name Camelus bactrianus (Bactrian camel). It matches the Rfam family "tRNA". From Rfam's summary of the family: Transfer RNA (tRNA) molecules are approximately 80 nucleotides in length. Their secondary structure includes four short double-helical elements and three loops (D, anti-codon, and T loops). Lineage: Eukaryota; Metazoa; Chordata; Mammalia; Artiodactyla; Camelidae. RNAcentral also lists the same sequence under 2 other names. The record is from Rfam by way of RNAcentral.
AGGGGGAUAGCUCAGUGGUAGAGUGUGUGCUUAGCAUGCAUGAGGUCCUUGGUUCAAUCCCCAGCACCUCCA